AGGGGCAGCAUAAUGGAUAGCAAUAUCUAUGGUGGCGACCGGCGCACGGGUGCGUAACGCGUAUGCAACCUACCUUUAACAGGGGGAUAACACUGAGAAAUUGGUACUAAUACCCCAUAAUAUUCGGAGAGGCAUCUCUCCGGGUUGAAAACUCCGGUGGUUAUAGAUGGACAUGCGUUGUAUUAGCUAGUUGGUGAGGUAACGGCUCACCAAGGCAACGAUACAUAGGGGGACUGAGAGGUUAACCCCCACACUGGUACUGAGACACGGACCAGACUCC
This 280-nucleotide ribosomal RNA is filed under the name uncultured Alistipes sp. RNAcentral describes it as "partial 16S ribosomal RNA". It matches the Rfam family "Bacterial small subunit ribosomal RNA", at positions 65 to 339 of the family's 1533-position model. The record is from RNAcentral. Lineage: Bacteria; Pseudomonadati; Bacteroidota; Bacteroidia; Bacteroidales; Rikenellaceae.